RNAcentral lists this ribosomal RNA (520 nucleotides) under uncultured marine bacterium. Its description in RNAcentral is "bacterial SSU rRNA". It matches the Rfam family "Bacterial small subunit ribosomal RNA", at positions 30 to 548 of the family's 1533-position model. The record is from RNAcentral.
UGACCGCUGGCGGCAGGCCUAACACAUGCAAGUCGAGCGAGAAAGGUUUUCGGACUGAGUACAGCGGCGGACGGGUGAGUAACGCGUAGGAAUCUACCCAGUAGUGGGGGACAACUUAGGGAAACUUAAGCUAAUACCGCAUACGCCCUGAGGGGGAAAGCGGGGGAUCUUCGGACCUCGCGCUAUUGGAAGAGCCUGCGUUAGAUUAGCUAGUUGGUGGGGUAAAGGCUCACCAAGGCGACGAUCUAUAGCUGGUCUGAGAGGAUGAUCAGCCACACUGGGACUGAGACACGGCCCAGACUCCUACGGGAGGCAGCAGUGGGGAAUAUUGCGCAAUGGGCGAAAGCCUGACGCAGCCAUGCCGCGUGUGUGAAGAAGGCCUUAGGGUUGUAAAGCACUUUCAAUUGGGAGGAAGAGGUUAAAGUUAAUAGCUUUGACUUUUGACGUUACCUUUAGAAGAAGCACCGGCUAACUCCGUGCCAGCAGCCGCGGUAAUACUGAGGGUGCAAGCGUUAAUCGG